This 98-nucleotide ribosomal RNA is filed under the name Capra hircus (goat). The record is from RNAcentral. Lineage: Eukaryota; Metazoa; Chordata; Mammalia; Artiodactyla; Bovidae.
AUUCAGUACACCCUGAAUGUACCCGAUCUCAUGUGAUCUUGGAAGCUAAGCAGGGUUGGGCCUGGUUAGUACUUGGAUGGGAGGAGAUGGGGAGAAUA